AAAAUUUAUUUUAUUAUUUUUAUAAUAAAAUAAAAAAAAUAUUAAUUAAAUUACUUUGAAAAAUUAAGAGUGUUUAAAGCAGUCAUAUUUUUUAAUUAAAAAAUAAAAUUGUCAUAAAUAUUAUUAGCAUGGGAUAAUAGAAUAGGAUCUUCACAAUAUAUUUUAUUGGUUUAAAUUGCGUAUGAAGAUAAUGAUUAAUAGGGACAGUUGGGGUUAUUCAUAUUGGGUGGUUAGCGGUGAAAUGCUCGGAUCCAUUCAAGAUGAACUAAAGCGAAAGCAUUUACCAAGGAUGUUUUCAUUAAUCAAGAACGAAAGUUAAGGGAUCGAAGACGAUUAGAUACCGUCGUAGUCUUAACUAUAAACUAUGCCGACCAGGGAUAUGAGUUGUUAGGAAUAUAUGAAAGUAUAUUCAAUUUCUUCUUAUGAACCUUGUGAGAAAUCAUAAGUUUUUGGGUUCUGGGGGGAGUAGUGGUCGCAAGGCUGAAACUUAAAGGAA
Molecule: ribosomal RNA, 496 nt
Filed under: uncultured eukaryote
Lineage: Eukaryota
Description: partial 18S ribosomal RNA
Rfam family: Eukaryotic small subunit ribosomal RNA
Source: RNAcentral